GAGUUUGAUCCUGGCUCAGGACGAACGCUGGCGGCGUGCCUAAUACAUGCAAGUAGAACGCUGAAGAGAGGAGCUUGCUCUUCUUGGAUGAGUUGCGAACGGGUGAGUAACGCGUAGGUAACCUGCCUUGUAGCGGGGGAUAACUAUUGGAAACGAUAGCUAAUACCGCAUAACAAUGGAUGACACAUGUCAUUUAUUUGAAAGGGGCAAUUGCUCCACUACAAGAUGGACCUGCGUUGUAUUAGCUAGUAGGUGAGGUAACGGCUCACCUAGGCGACGAUACAUAGCCGACCUGAGAGGGUGAUCGGCCACACUGGGACUGAGACACGGCCCAGACUCCUACGGGAGGCAGCAGUAGGGAAUCUUCGGCAAUGGGGGCAACCCUGACCGAGCAACGCCGCGUGAGUGAAGAAGGUUUUCGGAUCGUAAAGCUCUGUUGUAAGUCAAGAACGAGUGUGAGAGUGGAAAAUUCACACUGUGACGGUAGCUUACCAGAAAGGGACGGCUAACUACGUGCCAGCAGCCGCGGUAAUACGUAGGUCCCGAGCGUUGUCCGGAUUUAUUGGGCGUAAAGCGAGCGCAGGCGGUUUGAUAAGUCUGAAGUUAAAGGCUGUGGCUCAACCAUAGUUCGCUUUGGAAACUGUCAAGCUUGAGUGCAGAAGGGGAGAGUGGAAUUCCAUGUGUAGCGGUGAAAUGCGUAGAUAUAUGGAGGAACACCGGUGGCGAAAGCGGCUCUCUGGUCUGUAACUGACGCUGAGGCUCGAAAGCGUGGGGAGCGAACAGGAUUAGAUACCCUGGUAGUCCACGCCGUAAACGAUGAGUGCUAGGUGUUGGAUCCUUUCCGGGAUUCAGUGCCGCAGCUAACGCAUUAAGCACUCCGCCUGGGGAGUACGACCGCAAGGUUGAAACUCAAAGGAAUUGACGGGGGCCCGCACAAGCGGUGGAGCAUGUGGUUUAAUUCGAAGCAACGCGAAGAACCUUACCAGGUCUUGACAUCCCGAUGCUAUUUCUAGAGAUAGAAAGUUACUUCGGUACAUCGGUGACAGGUGGUGCAUGGUUGUCGUCAGCUCGUGUCGUGAGAUGUUGGGUUAAGUCCCGCAACGAGCGCAACCCCUAUUGUUAGUUGCCAUCAUUCAGUUGGGCACUCUAGCGAGACUGCCGGUAAUAAACCGGAGGAAGGUGGGGAUGACGUCAAAUCAUCAUGCCCCUUAUGACCUGGGCUACACACGUGCUACAAUGGUUGGUACAACGAGUUGCGAGUCGGUGACGGCAAGCUAAUCUCUUAAAGCCAAUCUCAGUUCGGAUUGUAGGCUGCAACUCGCCUACAUGAAGUCGGAAUCGCUAGUAAUCGCGGAUCAGCACGCCGCGGUGAAUACGUUCCCGGGCCUUGCACACACCGCCCGUC
RNAcentral lists this ribosomal RNA (1405 nucleotides) under uncultured bacterium. RNAcentral describes it as "bacterial SSU rRNA". It matches the Rfam family "Bacterial small subunit ribosomal RNA". The record is from RNAcentral.